GACGAACGCUGGCGGCGUGCUUAACACAUGCAAGUCGAACGGAAAGGCCCUGCUUUUGUGGGGUGCUCGAGUGGCGAACGGGUGAGUAACACGAGAGUAACCUGCCCUUGACUUUGGGAUAACUUCAGGAAACUGGGGCUAAUACCGGAUAGGAGCUCCUGCUGCAUGGUGGGGGUUGGAAAGUUUCGGCGGUUGGGGAUGGACUCGCGGCUUAUCAGCUUGUUGGUGGGGUAGUGGCUUACCAAGGCUUUGACGGGUAGCCGGCCUGAGAGGGUGACCAGCCACAUUGGGACUGAGAUACGGCCCAGACUCCUACGGGAGGCAGCAGUGGGGAAUAUUGCACAAUGGGCGGAAGCCUGAUGCAGCAACGCCGCGUGCGGGAUGACGGCCUUCGGGUUGUAAACCGCUUUCGCCUGUGACGAAGCGUGAGUGACGGUAAUGGGUAAAGAAGCACCGGCUAACUACGUG
Molecule: ribosomal RNA, 468 nt
Filed under: uncultured bacterium
Lineage: Bacteria
Description: partial 16S ribosomal RNA
Rfam family: Bacterial small subunit ribosomal RNA
Source: RNAcentral